GUAGUGGGUUUGGUCGCUCGCAUUUAAAUUGGAAGGGUAAUGGUGGACCGCACUUCUCCCUUAGUAGGACGUUGCGACCUGUCAAAUAAUAUCCUAAGUAUUUGGCUAAUUUGUCUGUUUUUAGGCAGUACUGAAAGGUAUUUCCUUUAACAGUUUUAGCCGUUUACAUACUGGAUAUAAUUGACAGUAACGAAUCAUGGUGUUGAGCCACUUACUUUGUAAGUGUCCUUUAUGGCUGUUUGCAAGUGGGUUGGUUAAUUAGUUUUAGUCGGAUUUUGGUCCGUCUAACUAUUCCGCCUACUGUUGGUAAACUGUUCCUUGGACAGUGCUUAUAACACCGGUCGGCAGCGAUUCAGGUUCAGGCUCUUAUCCGACCCGUCUUGAAACACGGACCAAGGAGUUUAGCGUGUACGCAAGUCAUUGGGUGUAUAAAACCCAAAGGCGCAA
RNAcentral lists this ribosomal RNA (447 nucleotides) under Triatoma garciabesi. RNAcentral's name for it is "eukaryotic LSU rRNA". It matches the Rfam family "Eukaryotic large subunit ribosomal RNA", at positions 454 to 719 of the family's 3401-position model. Lineage: Eukaryota; Metazoa; Arthropoda; Insecta; Hemiptera; Reduviidae. The record is from RNAcentral.